AUGGCGGAGUUGGUGGCUACCAUGGCGAUCCGGCCACUGGUGUGCAUGCUGAUGAACAAGGCGUCCAGCUCCCUCCUGGACCAGUACAAGGUGAUGGAGGGAAUGGAGAAGCAGCACAGAAUUCUCAAACGCAAGCUUCCAGCCAUCCUUGAUGUCAUCACCGACGCCGAGGAGCAGGCAACGGCACACAGAGAAGGUGCGAAAGCCUGGCUCCAGGAGCUCAAGAUAGUGGCAUAUAAAGCAAAUGAAGUCUUUGACGAAUUCAAAUACGAAGCACUCCGACGUGAAGCCAAGAAGAAUGGGCACUGCACCAAGCUCGGCUUCAAUGUAAUCAAACUCUACCCUACUCACAACCGUGUUGUGUUCCGUUACAAAAUGGGUCGCAAGCUUUGCCAGAUUCUACAGGCCAUCGAGGUACUCAUAGUAGAGAUGCAGGUCUUUGGGUUCAAGUACCAACCACAACCACCAGUCUCCAAGCAGUGGAGGCAAACAGAUUAUGUUAUCAUCGACCCAAGAGAAAUUGUUGGCAGAUCUAGAGGCAAAGAUAAGAAGAAUAUUGUUGAUACACUAUUUGGUCAAUCUACCAAUGUAGAUCUCACCAUUGUACCCAUUGUUGGAAUGGGUGGCCUUGGCAAAACCACGUUAGCACAGCUCAUAUACAAUGAACCUGAAAUUCAGAAGCAUUUCCAGUUGCUACUUUGGGUCUGUGUCUCUGAUACUUUUGAUGUGAACUCCCUGGCUAAGAGUAUAGUUGAAGCAUCUCCCAACAAAAAUAAUGAUACAGACAAACCACCACUCGAGAGACUUAAAAAAUUGGUUAGUGGACAGAGGUUUCUCCUUGUACUGGAUGAUGUGUGGAACAGAGAGGUCUAUAAGUGGGAAAGGCUGAAGGUCUGUCUUCAACAUGGUGGCAUGGGUAGUGCAAUGUUAACAACAACUCGUGAUAAACAAGUCGCUGAAAUUAUGGGUGCAGGUAGAGCCUACAAUCUCAAUAUUUUGGAGGAUUGCUUCGUAAAGGAAAUUAUUGAGGCUAGAGCAUUCAGUUCCGAGAAAGAAAAGCCUGUCGAGUUAAGCAAGAUGGUUGAUGAGAUUGUAAGCAGAUGUUCUGGCUCUCCUUUAGCUGCAACUGCACUGGGCUCUGUACUUCGUACCAAGACUAGCGUCGAAGAGUGGAAGGCUAUAUCAUCUAGAAGCAGCAUUUGCACUUUGGAAACUGGAAUUCUGCCAAUAUUAAAGCUUAGCUACAAUGACUUGCCAUCACACAUGAAGCAAUGCUUUGCCUUUUGUGCUGUAUUUCCAAAGGAUUACAAAAUUGAUGUGGACAAGCUGAUCCGACUAUGGAUCGCAAAUGGCUUUAUCCCAGAGCACAAGGAAGAUAAUCUUGAAACCAUUGGAAAACAUAUUUUCAUUGAGCUUGCCUCAAGGUCAUUCUUUCUGGACAUAAAGGAAAGUAAAGACUUCGGGGGGUAUUAUUCCAUGAGGUAUUAUCCCAGAACUACAUGUAAAAUCCAUGAUCUCAUGCAUGAUGUUGCAAUAUCUGUUAUGGAAAAGGAAUGUGUUGCUGGAACUAAGGAAUCAAAUCAAAACGAGUGGCUUUUAGAUAAUACUCGUCACUUAUUUUUGUUGAGUAGAAAUAUAGAAGGUAUUUUGAAUCAUUCUAUGGAGAAACGAUCCUCUGCUAUCCAAACACUAUUAUGCAAUAAUGUUGUCUGGAGCUCACUACAUCAUCUAUCAAAGUACAGCUCUUUGCAUGCCUUGCAAAUCUGUAUGAGAACAGAAAUAUUUCUCCUGAAACCAAAGUAUCUGCAUCACCUGAGGUACCUUGAUCUCUCAGAAAGUCGUAUCGAAGCACUUCCUGAAGAUAUAAGUAUUCUAUAUAAUUUGCAAAUGUUGGACCUUUCCAACUGCUCUGAUCUUGUUCGACUUCCGAGGCAAAUGAAGUAUAUGACUUCCCUCUGUCACCUCUACACUCAUGGAUGUUUUAAAUUGAACAGCAUGCCUCCAGAACUUGGAAAACUCAUUAACCUACGAACACUUACAUGUUUUGUAGCAGCAAUUACUGGCACUGAUUGCAGUGAUGUUGCAGAGCUGCAGCAUUUAAACCUAGGUGGUCAGCUAGAGCUACGUCGGGUAGAGAAUGUUAUAGAGUUGGAGGCAAGAGUGGCAAAUCUUGGAAACAAAAAGGAUCUCAAAGAACUGACUUUAAGAUGGAGUUAUGUUCGGGACAGCAAUGUGCUCGACAAUUUUGAACCACAUGAUGGAUUGCAGGUUCUGAAGAUAUAUUCCUAUGGAGGCAAGUGGAUGUGCAUGUUGCAAAACAUGGUGGCCAUCCAUCUUUUUCAUUGUGAAAGAUUGAAAGUUUUGUUCAGGUGUGGUACAUCCUUCAGUUUUCCUAAACUGAAGGAGAUUACGCUGGAACAUCUGUUGGAUUUUGAGAGAUGGUGGGAAAGAAAUGAGAGGCAAGAAGAACAAAUAAUAUUUCCUGUGCUUGAUAAGUUGUUUAUUAAGUAUUGUGGAAAGUUGACGGCGCUGCCAGAACCAUCCUUGCUUCAAGAACCGUGUGGUGGAGGUUAUAGGUUGGUACGCUCACCAUUUCCUGCCCUAAAGGUACUUGAAUUGGACAAUUUGGAGAGCUUCCAGAGAUGGAAUGCAGUUGAAGAGUCUCAAGGAGAACAGAUAUUGUUUCCUCAGCUUGAGAAACUAAUAAUUCAGAAAUGUCCAGAGUUGUUAGCAUUACCAGAAGCACCAUUGCUUCAAGAACCGUGCAGUGGAGGUGGUUAUAGAUUGGUGCGCUCAGCGUUUCCUGCCCUAAAGGUGAUCAAAAUGAAUGACUUGGAGAGCUUUCAGAGAUGGGAUGCUGCUGCUGAAAGAGAAUAUAUACUGUUUCCUUUGCUUGAGGAACUAUCCAUUCAGAAAUGCCCAAAGUUGAUAGGUUUGCCCGAGGCACCAUUUCUUCAAGAACCAUGUAGUGGAGGUGGUUAUAGAUUGGUGCGCUCAGCGUUUCCUGCCCUAAAUGUACUCAAACUCAAUGGCUUGGAGAGCUUUCAGAGAUGGGAUGGUGCUGCUGAAGGGGAACAUAUGUUGUUUCCCCAGCUUGAGAAAGUAUCAAUUCAGAAUUGCCCAAAGCUGAUAGAUUUACCUGAAGCACCAAAACUCAGUGUAUUGGAAAUUGAAGAUGGCAAGCAAGAGAUAUUCCAUUGGGUAGAAAGAUAUUUGUCUUCGUUGACCAAUCUGGUAUUGAAGCUAGAGUACACAGAAACAACAUCAGGGGCUCAGUGGACUUCAAUUGUACCGGUGGACAGCAAGGAGAAAUGGAACCAGACAUCCCCUAUUGCAGUUAUGAAGUUAGACUGCUGCAACUCAUUCUUUGGACCAUGUGCACUAGAGCUGUGGGACUAUUUUGUACACCUUGAAAAGUUGGAAAUUGGUAGAUGCAAUGUGCUCGUCCACUGGCCACGGGAAGUGUUCCAAAGCUUGGUAUCCUUGAGGAGGUUAGCAAUUACACACUGCCAAAAUCUGAUUGGAUAUGGACCGCCUCUUCCUGGGCCAUCAGCAAUAAGGAGUCAUCAUCUACCAGGUCUGGAGUCUCUUCUAUUGAAAAAUUGUCCAUGUUUGGUAGAGAUGUUCAACGUCCCGGCAUCUCUCAAGAAAAUGAAUAUUUAUGGGUGCUGUAAGCUUGAGUCCAUUUUUGGCAAGCAGCAGGGCAUGUCAAAGUCAGUUCAUGGGUCUUCUUGCAGUGAGGCAAUCGUGCGCACUGCUGUAUCACCCGCGAAUCACUUUUGUCCAUGCCUAGAAGAUCUAGAGUUACUUGGCUGUGGUAGUUUACCAGCAGUUCUACAUCUCCCUCCAUCCUUAGAGACCAUCUUUAUUGCUAGCUGCUUUAGUAUUCAAGUCCUGACAUGUCAGCUAGAUCAGCUCCAGAAACCACAAGUCGUUGCUUCCAUCAAUGUACCAGAGCCAUCAUCGGCAGCAGCAAGCAAGCAUUCACUUCCUCCUCGUCUCCAAUCUCUAAAAAUAUACUCCUGUACUAACAUGUUGGGGGGGAUUCUCCUGCCCACGUCCCUCAAGGAACUGUGCAUUAGUAGUAACAUGUGGUUGACAUCUUUGGAGUCUCUGUCAGGAGAGCACCCCCCAUCGUUGGAAUCCCUUUUGCUUCAUAGAUGCGGAACCCUUGCAUCACUGCCGAAUGAGCAGCAAGCAUACGGGUCUCUAAAGUGGCUUAGAAUUACAGGUUGUCCUGGUAUAAAGAAGCUCCCUAGAUGCCUGCAGCAGCAACUGGGCAGCAUUGACGACAAAGAACUGGAUGCCCAUUAUUUAGUAACAGAAUUUAAACCAUUUAAACCGAAGACAUGGAAGGAAAUACCAAGACUUGUUCGUGAGUGGAGGCAGCCUACCGAAAUUGGUGAUCAGUCAUCUUCUUCAGAUGCAUUUACUUCAGAUGUAUCAGAUCCUUCAAUGAACACCGAAAUUGGUGACUAUUCACUUGUGCUAGCUCUCGAGCGAGAGUUGUUUGGGGCCUAUAGUGUAGGGUGA
Molecule: ribosomal RNA, 4533 nt
Filed under: Triticum aestivum (bread wheat)
Lineage: Eukaryota; Viridiplantae; Streptophyta; Magnoliopsida; Poales; Poaceae
Description: partial small subunit ribosomal RNA
Source: RNAcentral